Molecule: long non-coding RNA, 588 nt
Organism: Calliphora vicina (urban bluebottle blowfly)
Lineage: Eukaryota; Metazoa; Arthropoda; Insecta; Diptera; Calliphoridae
Exons: 2
Source: RefSeq, a predicted model, not a curated record
GUUAAUAAAUUAGAUAAACAGGCUGCUUGGGAGGAAGUUUUAAAAGAAGCCCAAUCCUUGCAACUGGCGUCGGACCAAAAAACAUGGACCUAUGCCAGGGACAGUUUGUUUGGGCUCUGGAAGAGUCGGACAUUGAGUAAAAGGGAUAACGCCCGACAAAUGGACUUAAUUGACUUGGUCAUUCUCGAUAUUCUGGAAUCAGACUCUGCUGUGGUAGAUGGACAGAAUUUCCAAGAAAUCUAUGAAAAUUCAGAAAAUCUAUCAUCAGCUGAGUCUGAGUCCAUAAUAUCGAUGACAGAGGAAACACCUAACUGCCCACCUCCAAACCCAAGGAAGAGGAAGAGCUCUACCACGUUUCCAAGUGAAACUUUGGAUAGAGAGAAGCAAAGUUUGUUGGAGCUACUGCAGGUUAAAGUUUACUACAGGAAACUUCUAUGUCUGAAAUUGGAGAGGGAGCUCCAACUUCCAGCCUCGGCCAUAACUCGGGAAAUUGCCGAGGCAGAAACUGCAGAUAUUUCUUAAAUGUUUAUUUGUUAAUUGUUUUAUAUUAUUUGUAUUUCUAAAUAAACCAUAAGUGAAUUUCAUAUA